This 74-nucleotide transfer RNA is filed under the name Petromyzon marinus (sea lamprey). RNAcentral's name for it is "tRNA-Ile (AAT) (tRNA-Ile-AAT-36-1, tRNA-Ile-AAT-36-2)". Lineage: Eukaryota; Metazoa; Chordata; Hyperoartia; Petromyzontiformes; Petromyzontidae. The record is from RNAcentral.
GGCCGGUUAGCUCAGCUGGUUAGAGCGUGGUGCUAAUAACGCCAAGGUCCUGCGUUUGAUCCCCAUACUGGCCA